RNAcentral lists this ribosomal RNA (498 nucleotides) under uncultured bacterium. Its description in RNAcentral is "partial 16S ribosomal RNA". It matches the Rfam family "Bacterial small subunit ribosomal RNA", at positions 28 to 507 of the family's 1533-position model. The record is from RNAcentral.
GACGAACGCUGGCGGCGUGCCUAAUACAUGCAAGUCGAGCGGACGGACGGGAGCUUGCUCCCAGACCGUCAGCGGCGGACGGGUGAGUAACACGUGGGCAACCUGCCUGUAAGACUGGGAUAACUCCGGGAAACCGGGGCUAAUACCGGAUAACUCUUUCCCUCACAUGAGGGAAAGCUGAAAGAUGGCAUCUCGCUAUCACUUACAGAUGGGCCCGCGGCGCAUUAGCUAGUUGGUGAGGUAACGGCUCACCAAGGCGACGAUGCGUAGCCGACCUGAGAGGGUGAUCGGCCACACUGGGACUGAGACACGGCCCAGACUCCUACGGGAGGCAGCAGUAGGGAAUCUUCCGCAAUGGACGAAAGUCUGACGGAGCAACGCCGCGUGAGUGAUGAAGGUUUUCGGAUCGUAAAACUCUGUUGUCAGGGAAGAACAAGUACCGGAGUAACUGCCGGUACCUUGACGGUACCUGACCAGAAAGCCACGGCUAACUACGUG